RNAcentral lists this ribosomal RNA (254 nucleotides) under uncultured bacterium. RNAcentral describes it as "partial 16S ribosomal RNA". It matches the Rfam family "Bacterial small subunit ribosomal RNA", at positions 524 to 776 of the family's 1533-position model. The record is from RNAcentral.
UACGGGGGGAGCAAGCGUUGUUCGGAUUUACUGGGCGUAAAGGGCGCGUAGGCGGUCAGCACAAGUCAGUUGUGAAAUCUCCGGGCUUAACUCGGAAAGGUCAACUGAUACUGUGCGACUAGAGUGCGGAAGGGGCAACUGGAAUUCCCGGUGUAGCGGUGAAAUGCGUAGAUAUCGAGAGGAACACCUGCGGCGAAGGCGGGUUGCUGGGCCGACACUGACGCUGAUGCGCGAAAGCCAGGGGAGCGAACGGG